CGCCCUAUCAGCUUGUUGGCGGGGUAACGGCCACCAAGGCGAUGACGGUAGCUGGUCUGAGAGGAUGACCAGCCACACUGGAACUGAGACACGGUCCAGACACCUACGGGUGGCAUCAGUCGAGAAUCAUUCACAAUGGGCGAAAGCCUGAUGGUGUGACGCCGCGUGGAGGAUGAAGGUCUUCGGAUUGUAAACUCCUGUCAAGUGAGAGUAAAGCCGGGCGUUAACUGCGAGCCGGUUUGAGAGUAUCACUAGAGGAAGAGACGGCUAACUCUGUGCCAGCAGCCGCGGUAAUACAGAGGUCUCAAGCGUUGUUCGGAAUCACUGGGCGUAAAGGGUGCGUAGGCUGCACGGUAAGUCAGAUGUGAAAGCCCGGAGCUCAACUUCGGAAUUGCAUCCGAUACUGCCGUGCUUGAGGACUGGAGAGGAGAUUGGAAUUCACAGUGGAGCAGUGAAAUGCGUAGAUAUUGUGAGGAACACUAGUGGCG
RNAcentral lists this ribosomal RNA (488 nucleotides) under uncultured bacterium. RNAcentral's name for it is "bacterial SSU rRNA". It matches the Rfam family "Bacterial small subunit ribosomal RNA", at positions 234 to 717 of the family's 1533-position model. The record is from RNAcentral.